RNAcentral lists this long non-coding RNA (797 nucleotides) under Chrysemys picta bellii (western painted turtle). RNAcentral describes it as "lncRNA (ENSCPBG00000025579.1)". The record is from RNAcentral. Lineage: Eukaryota; Metazoa; Chordata; Testudines; Emydidae.
ACAUAGAGUAUAGUGAAAGGCAGAAUAGAAAAGGAGAAUCAUAUGAAGGGGAAAAGGUUAAACUAUUUUACAUGUGACUUUACUUGUCACAAUUUCUAUUAUAUUUAAGGGGCAUUUGAGAUGAAAAUUUCUCUGACCAAAUUACUUAGUCAUUGAUCCUCUCUUCUCACAUCUGGGGCUAUUCUAUUAAAGGACUGAAGGUUUAUUAAAGUGAUUGGAACACUUGGCUUCUUGCUGAGCACAGUCUGUAUAGCAGAGUCAAACUGCCUUUAUUAUAUAUGAUCCAUUCUGGGUUUGAACCAGAGGCCUUUAAAAUAGAAGGGAAGAUAAAUUAGUGUGUUGUUUCAGCCAAUUCUGACAAGUUUCUUUGAUUUCAGGUUUGCUUUAAUUAUUGGAAUUUCAGUGGCUGUGGCUUUUUAUGGCAUGUUAAAAAGAGGAGUGAGUUACAUCCAAUCCUUGAGUAAAUUGACAUGGAAGACCAUCAUUUUAUUGGUGAUGGGGGUCGUCUUCUACAACUAUGGAGCCAGAGAUGGGCCAUUAUCAUGGAGCUGAGCAAGGAUCCCAGGAGUUUUGCAGGGACUUGGGUUCACCAGCUUCAUUGUGGCUUUGAUGCAGACCUGCUUCAGUAUAAAGGAUAUCCAGAAAUAUCAGAUUGGUUACUGGUGGGCUCCAGCCAGAGAUAUUGUCCUGUACUGGCCAGAAUGGAUAAUCAUUGCUGUUCUGGAGACAAUGUGGCUCUGCCUGACAUUCCUGCUUCUGGUAUCUGGAUGCCCCAAGAACUAUUCAAAACUAUGUAG